CAGCCAGUAGGGCACUUGUAUUACUGUCUCUCUGGGCCAUGACUCACCAGCCCCAAUGAUAACAAUCCUUAGACCUUUGACAUGUUUUCAGGAUGCUUUUCUCUAUUGGUUCCACAAAGGAAGCCCUAAGACGUUGUCCAGCUUCUAAUUCUGCAAAGAACAGCUGGAAAACAUGAGGGCCGACUCAACAGCUGUGUGUUGGGAAUCAGGAGGCAUCCAGGACGAAGAUACCAUCUGGCUACAGCUGCUACCAAAAUGAGAAGCCAAUCCUCAGGCAAAGAGAAGCUUGAAGGAACUGGGAAAGUUGUUCCCGCACCUCCCCAACCCCACCGCCCAGUAGGAUCAUUCCAAGGUCAGUAGGGCUAUAACUGCUGCCUCCUUAUGCUAGAAAGUGCAGGAAGUAACUGCUUUGCACAGCAUUCUGGCUUCUUCAGUUUGGGGCUGUCCUGAUCACUGUUGG
Molecule: long non-coding RNA, 460 nt
Filed under: Piliocolobus tephrosceles (Ugandan red Colobus)
Lineage: Eukaryota; Metazoa; Chordata; Mammalia; Primates; Cercopithecidae
Description: lncRNA (ENSPTEG00000025212.1)
Source: RNAcentral